RNAcentral lists this transfer RNA (70 nucleotides) under Dipodomys ordii (Ord's kangaroo rat). It matches the Rfam family "tRNA". Rfam says of the family: Transfer RNA (tRNA) molecules are approximately 80 nucleotides in length. Their secondary structure includes four short double-helical elements and three loops (D, anti-codon, and T loops). Further hydrogen bonds mediate the characteristic L-shaped molecular structure. tRNAs have two regions of fundamental functional importance: the anti-codon, which is responsible for specific mRNA codon recognition, and the 3' end, to which the tRNAs corresponding amino acid is attached (by aminoacyl-tRNA synthetases). tRNAs cope with the degeneracy of the genetic code in two manners: having more than one tRNA (with a specific anti-codon) for a particular amino acid; and 'wobble' base-pairing, i.e. permitting non-standard base-pairing at the 3rd anti-codon position. The record is from Rfam by way of RNAcentral. Lineage: Eukaryota; Metazoa; Chordata; Mammalia; Rodentia; Heteromyidae.
GGUAAAGUAGCUUAAUGGUAGAGUGCUUGCCUAGCAUGCAUGAAGCCCUGGGUUCAAUUCCCCAGUACCA